RNAcentral lists this ribosomal RNA (466 nucleotides) under uncultured bacterium. RNAcentral's name for it is "partial 16S ribosomal RNA". It matches the Rfam family "Bacterial small subunit ribosomal RNA", at positions 28 to 523 of the family's 1533-position model. The record is from RNAcentral.
GACGAACGCUGGCGGCGUGCCUAACACAUGCAAGUCGAGCGAACCCUUCGGGGUGAGCGGCGGACGGGUGAGUAACGCGUGGGUAACCUGCCCUAUACACACGGAUAACGUACCGAAAGGUACGCUAAUACGGGAUAAAGUUGUUGGAUGGCAUCUUCUAACAAUCAAAGCUCCGGCGGUAUAGGAUGGACCCGCGUCUGAUUAGCUAGUUGGUGAGGUAAUGGCUCACCAAGGAGACGAUCAGUAGCCGACCUGAGAGGGUGAUCGGACACCCUGGAACUGAAUCACGGUCCAGACUCCUACGGGAGUCAGCAGUGGGGAAUAUUGCACCAUGGGCGAAAGCCUGAUGCAGCAACGCCGCGUGAGCGAUGAAGGUCUUCGGAUCGUAAAGCUCUGUCCUCAAGGAAGAUAAUGACGGUACUUGAGGAGGAAGCCCCGGCUAACUACGUGCCAGCCGCCGCAGUAA